GGACUAUUUGACAGUUGCCAUGAGAUUUCAGAUUCGAUAAAAUUUUAGUUAUUUUAGGAAUUCUUCGCUCUUACCAGGUAAUUCUUAUUCGUUAUUUUUAAAACAUAACCAUUAUAACAGAAAACACAUUUCAAAGUCAUAUUUUGAAAUUGAGUGUUAUAUUAGUAUACAACUUUUCAUCUAAACUCAGAAAGUGUCAGUGAUGAAAAUAUACAGUACUCAUUCAAAUCCGUUUACGUUUCUUGUUUCAUAAAUUAGUAAUCUGAAUUUACAUGAAAUUAAAAUAGGUUAUUUCGAGAUAUAUCAUUUAUUUUAUUUUCUCUCGACACAAGUUAUUUCCCUCCACGGGACGUCGGGAAAUAGUCAGUGUCUCGAGUAAAAUAAAAUAGAUAUAUUCAUCAUGUACCAUUUCAUUAGUGCCAAUCAAAUAGUAAGUUUCAUUUGAUUUCAUCAUGACAUUGGUAUUAAGAGUUACAGUAAAGAAAUAUGCAGUACCAUAUAUAUACGCAUACAAAUUAUGCUAUUUUUUUUUUUAUAUUUUUACGAAGUUACUUGUUUAGCACAACCGACCAUAGUAUAAAAAUAUAUAAGUCGCUAUCUGUACAUCAACUGCAUACUAAAAUAACUACAGAUUUUUAUGAUGCGGACAAGAACAGAGAUAUAGAGAGUCACAAAUCAUUAUUAUAUAUACUUUUUAACUCAUGCAUUUAUGUUAAUUUUAUUGUUUUAUUUUUCUUUAAAUAAUUUGUGUGCAUUAAAAUGAACGUGCAAUUACAUUUUUGUAAAUGUGAGUUGCCAUGAAAUUCGAAAUCGAAAAAGAUAUAUUAAUUUAGAAACUCUUUUAGAUUUUUUUACCAGCCAAGCUAAUUUUGAAGUCCAUACGACAUAGGCAAGACACAAGACACAAGACACAAGACACAAGACAAGACAAGACACAAGACACAAGACAAGACAAGACACAAGACACAAGACACAAGACAAGACAUGACAAUUUUAUUCUUUAAAAUUUCUGAAAGUCAAAUGUGACAAAUGUAUGAGAAGAUAGUAAAAUUCUGGAAUUACAAUAACCACACAAAUUUAAGAUUUGUAAUACACUUGAAACAACGUAUUACUUACAAUUCUGUCUCUGAUUCUUUAUAAUUUCCUAUUUGUUUGUUACAGAUAUGUUUAAACUAGAAAGAAACUCCACAUAAAGACGAUGACCGAAACAGAUGCUCGGGAUUGCGUUUGCGAAGGAAAAAAUAAAUUAGGAGGCAUAACCAGAACGUUCAACGUCAGUUUCCCGAC
Molecule: long non-coding RNA, 1287 nt
Filed under: Mytilus galloprovincialis (Mediterranean mussel)
Lineage: Eukaryota; Metazoa; Mollusca; Bivalvia; Mytilida; Mytilidae
Source: RNAcentral